GGUCAAUAGCCUAACGGCUGAACCAGCAACUUUGAAGGAAUGUAUAGCGAAAUGCUAGUUGUGCUUACAGGUUCUAGGUUUCUUUAGAAAAAAAAUUUUUUUUUUCUGAAGAAAUAAGAAAAGGGUGGUGCAAUCUUGACUAGAUCAAAUAAAGUUCUAGGUAGAGUUAUGAUGAUGACAUAUUCUAUCUAUUAGUCUUGACCAAAUUACGUGCCAGCAGUCGCGGUAAUACGUAUAAGACUAGUGUUAUUCAUCUUUAAUGGGUUUAAAGGGUACCUAGACGGCUAAUAAAGCUCCAAAAGAGUACUAAUUAGCUAGAGUCUGAUGUAAGGAGGCGAUAAAGUACUGAUAGUCUAGAGAUGAAAUUCGUUAUAAACUAUAUAUGGCACUGGUAAAAGCGAAGGCGUCCUCUUAUGUAAUGACUGACGU
RNAcentral lists this ribosomal RNA (429 nucleotides) under Pyxine limbulata. Its description in RNAcentral is "partial small subunit ribosomal RNA". It matches the Rfam family "Bacterial small subunit ribosomal RNA", at positions 366 to 746 of the family's 1533-position model. The record is from RNAcentral. Lineage: Eukaryota; Fungi; Ascomycota; Lecanoromycetes; Caliciales; Caliciaceae.